GAUUUUAUAGUCUAAAAAGGAUGUUAAAUUGCAAGUUUAAAGGUAAAAUUAUUUUUUAAAGUUU
This 64-nucleotide transfer RNA is filed under the name Ips subelongatus (larch engraver beetle). RNAcentral's name for it is "tRNA-Cys". The record is from RNAcentral. Lineage: Eukaryota; Metazoa; Arthropoda; Insecta; Coleoptera; Curculionidae.